UCUGCAUUUCUCAAAAGCAUUGUAGACCAUCAAUGGUAUCAAUGGUCUCUACAGUGGUUUACAAUACUUUUUGGAAAUGAAGCCAAGGACUCUAACCUGAUCUUUUCAGCAGGCAAGUCUCCUUGAGACCAUCUUCAUCACCAAUAUCGUGUGCGGUUCCCGUGACUUGCCUCCCUUACCCAAGUGGCUCAGGAUUCUGGUCCUGAAAUAUCUUGCUCGACUUGCUUGUAUGAAGAAAUCAUGCGAUAAAAACUUUGAAGCAAACACAUCUGAGAGCACUUUCUACAAAAACACCAUGACUGAUAUUCCAAAGAAAGAACUUGUUGGUGCAAGUCCAGUGAGAGUCUGGGAACAAUGCCUUGAUGAAAUGAAGAAGAUGAGUACGGAUUUACUGGCCAUCCGUCACCAAGUUGAAGAGCACUUCAGUCAUGACAACAGAACAGAUGACUGGUUCAUGUUUGGUCAGGUCAUUGACCGUGUGCUCUUUAUAAUGUAUAGCCUCUUUAUCGUUGUGAGUUUAAGCACAAUUAUGGUUCUGUGGCUGUACUCCUACAGUCUAGACAAAAGGUCGUAAUUUAUUCUUGCCUGCUCUGUAAACUGAUGACAGCAAAACUCUGAUGAUGGCAUGAUUUAUUUCUGAUGUAAUGCAAGGGAUGUUCAACUAAAUACUCUAGCUUUGCACUCUUUAUUGGGGCUUUAAAGGGGUAGUUCACCAAAAAUUAAAUUUCUGUCAUUUACUCGCCCU
This is an RNA transcript of Sinocyclocheilus rhinocerous, 745 nucleotides long. It is a transcript of the gene named 5-hydroxytryptamine receptor 3A-like, with no coding region annotated. The record is from RefSeq and is a predicted model, not a curated record. NCBI's taxonomy places the organism in Eukaryota, Metazoa, Chordata, Actinopteri, Cypriniformes, Cyprinidae. The transcript is spliced from 3 exons.